This 253-nucleotide ribosomal RNA is filed under the name uncultured bacterium. RNAcentral's name for it is "partial 16S ribosomal RNA". It matches the Rfam family "Bacterial small subunit ribosomal RNA", at positions 524 to 776 of the family's 1533-position model. The record is from RNAcentral.
UACAGAGGGGGCAAGCGUUGUUCGGAAUUACUGGGCGUAAAGGGCGCGUAGGCGGCCGCAUAAGUCAGACGUGAAAUCCCUCGGCUCAACCGGGGAACUGCGUCUGAUACUGGGUGGCUUGAAUCCGGGAGAGGGAUGCGGAAUUCCAGGUGUAGCGGUGAAAUGCGUAGAUAUCUGGAGGAACACCGGUGGCGAAGGCGGCAUCCUGGACCGGCAUUGACGCUGAGGCGCGAAAGCCAGGGGAGCAAACGGG